Molecule: long non-coding RNA, 971 nt
Filed under: Rattus norvegicus (Norway rat)
Lineage: Eukaryota; Metazoa; Chordata; Mammalia; Rodentia; Muridae
Description: long non-coding RNA NONRATT006102
Source: RNAcentral
UCCUUUCACCCAUGAAUUGUUGUGUGUGUAUUUAAGAGAACUGAGACUAAUGUAUUUCCCACAGUUUCCUAAGGCUUCCCCUCUGUUUACAUGUUCAAAAGGAAAAUCGCAAUCACUUGUAAAUGUGCCAUGUUUUGGUGGUGUGGGCAAUCAAUUAUAGUUAGUAUCUUUACCAAAGAUCUGGAAUUAGGGUAACCUUUCUAUUUUAGUACUGAAACCCUGUGCUCUUCUGUCUUUUUUAAAACGGUCUUCCCUCAUUUUGUAUAAUUAGUCAGUUACAGAAAGCUAACAUCCUGAAGGAAACACAACUGUUCCUUCAGUGUUAAAAAAGUACAAAUUGCUUCUGAGGCAUUAUUUGCCCUAAAAUAUAGUGGGCUUUUGUUUUGAGACUGGGUUUCACUCUAUAGCCCAGGCUGGCCUUGAACUUGCCGCUGUGUCCUUGCCUCAGUUUCUCAGCUUCAGGAUUAUGGACAGAAAUCACCAUGCCUGGCAUGUAACUAUUUUUGAGGCUGAAAUAGCUAAUGAAAAGCCCUAUCUAGAUCCAGAUUUUAUAUGACAUCAAAUUAGGGAAGUGGAGGGAAUUAUUUGGGAUGUGUUAGAUCUAAGAAUUUUUCUAAUGUGUCAACUUGGGCUCAGGUUGUAGUUGAGUGCCUGCUUAGCAUAUACAAGGCCCUGGGAUUGAGCCCCAGUAUGGAAGAAAAGACUUAACAAGUAUCUUUUAAAAGAGAGCUAUGUAUUUUUCAUGUAGUCUGUGAUUUUAAAGAUAAUCAUUUUGUUAGAUUUUUUUUUUUUUUUUUUUUUGGUAAUCAUGAGUUCCCUUGCAUCCCCUCUUAAUUUUAAUCUUGAUUUAUCCUACAGGCAUGUCCUUCCUACCUUUUGACAUUUUAAAAACUUGCAAAAAACAAAUCAUGUUUUAAAAGUAUGAUUUUGUGUUCUGCUGAAUUUAUAGCUAUCCUUGACUACGGGUUGGA